This 497-nucleotide ribosomal RNA is filed under the name uncultured bacterium. RNAcentral's name for it is "partial 16S ribosomal RNA". It matches the Rfam family "Bacterial small subunit ribosomal RNA", at positions 28 to 507 of the family's 1533-position model. The record is from RNAcentral.
GAUGAACGCUGGCGGCGUGCCUAAUACAUGCAAGUCGAGCGAACAGACGAGGAGCUUGCUCCUCUGACGUUAGCGGCGGACGGGUGAGUAACACGUGGAUAACCUACCUAUAAGACUGGGAUAACUUCGGGAAACCGGAGCUAAUACCGGAUAAUAUAUUGAACCGCAUGGUUCAAUAGUGAAAGACGGUUUUGCUGUCACUUAUAGAUGGAUCCGCGCCGCAUUAGCUAGUUGGUAAGGUAACGGCUUACCAAGGCAACGAUGCGUAGCCGACCUGAGAGGGUGAUAGGCCACACUGGAACUGAGACACGGACCAGACGCCUACGGGAGGCAGCAGUAGGGAAUCUGCCGCAAUGGGCGGAAGCCUGACGGAGCAACGCCGCGUGAGUGAUGAAGGUCUUCGGAUCGUAAAACUCUGUUAUUAGGGAAGAACAAAUGUGUAAGUAACUAUGCACGUCUUGACGGUACCUAAUCAGAAAGCCACGGCUAACUACGUG